Long non-coding RNA from Ictalurus punctatus (channel catfish), 3210 nucleotides. The record is from Ensembl. NCBI's taxonomy places the organism in Eukaryota, Metazoa, Chordata, Actinopteri, Siluriformes, Ictaluridae.
UCUCUCUGUCUGUCUCUCUAACCCUCUCUCUCUCUAUGUCUGUCUCUCUAACCCUCUCUCUCUCUAUCUGUCUGUCUCUCUAUCCCUCUCUAUCUGUCUGUCUCUCUAUCCCUCUCUCUCUCUAUCUGUCUGUCUCUCUAUUCCUCUCUCUGUCUCUCUCUAUAUCUCUCUCUCUCUAUCCCUCUCUCUCUGUCUCUCUCUAACCCUCUCUCUCUCUGUCUGUCUCUCUAACCCUCUCUCUCUCUCUAUCUGUCUGUCUCUCUAACCCUCUCUCUCUCUCUAUCUGUCUGUCUCUCUAUCCCUCUCUAUCUGUCUGUCUCUCUAUCCCUCUCUCUCUCUAUCUGUCUGUCUCUCUAUUCCUCUCUCUCUGUCUGUCUCUCUAUCCCUCUCUCUCUCUCCCUCUCCUUCUCUGCAGUGAGAGAGACAGAUGGAGAAACAGAAGGUAUGUGUUAUUCCGUGCUGUUGGACUCGGUCGUGUCUCGUCUGUUUUGACUCUCGGCAUUUGAAAUAAAUUAGUGUCUCGUUUCAGUUCUCAGGUCAGCAGGAGUGCAGCGAGCUCUCCACCUCCUCACCUGCUCUCCGUUAUCCCUCCAUCUGCCUGAUUCUUAUCAUAAAACAUGUUUUAUUGCAGAAGAAAUAAAACAGCAAAUAUGAAACAAUUCCAAAUGACUUGGGAAAAAAAAAGAGAGAGAGAGAGAGAGAGAGAGAGAGACAGAGAGAGAGAGAGAGAGGUUAUUUGUCAAUAAAAGACUCGCACGUGUCCGAGACGCUUUACUGGAAACGCUACAGAGGCGCGCGGGUCUGUGCUAAACAUUUUACAUCAAUGUUACAGAAUAAUAAACAAAAAGAUAAACGAAACAAACAAAUAAACAAAUAAGUAAACAUAAUUACAGAUGACAAAUAAUGAAGAAAUCUCGUCGUUUUCUUUUUCUCGGCCUUUCCAAAACUAAACUGAUCAUGUAAACUGUCCCGUCAUUAUAAUGACUUUCUGCUUUAUAAAGUUACAAUAAUAAUAAUAAUAAUAAUAAUAAUAAUAAUUCACGUACAAACACUGAAACAACAUUCUCAUGCUAAGACGCAUCUUCACCUGCUUUCUACUGUCCACGGUUGUUUAUUUAUUUAUUUAUUUAUUUCAUAAAAUGUUUGGGUUUUGUUUUCGGAAGAGCAAACACAGAGACGAACUAGAAACGGUGUCUUUAAAACCCCAAAUAAAUCAAAUUAAGCGAUAAAACGCUCCGUGUCAUUUUGUUCUAGGAUGACAAUCAACGCUGAUUAGUUUCCUGUAGUGGCGCGUCCCUGAGUGAGUGUUUUAUUCCCCUCCGCACCGCACCGCACUGGAGACUCCUUCCAUACAUGAUGAAGACAUUUACAGAAAGCUUCACCACGUCAACGAUUCUUUAAGACCCGCUUAAUAUUAUUAUUCUACACAUCGCCGUGAACGAGCGCGUUAACGUGAACCUGCGCCGCUGUCGGAGCCGCCGUGAGAGAGAAUCUAUUCCGCUGAAUAAUUCUCCAUGCUGUGGUAAUAAUCCGUUCUGAUAUUUAACACUAAAUCAUUCAGACAUUUUCUUAACAGUUCGAAGCUAAGAAAACGACGUGGAAACGUAACGCCAGCGUCAGCUCGUGAUGAGGAACCCGUAUACCCGAUAUACCUUUCUCUCCCAUCUCUGGAGUACGCUCACUGCACUAACGUGAUUUAACGCCAUUUAACGUGGGGUAGGACACGGCCCCGCCCGGCCCGGAAGCUGAAAGGAAAAGUUACGGCUCCAAUAAAUCCUUUACUGCUCAAUCCGUGAUGAUGGUGAUGAUGAUGGUGAUGGUGAUGAUGAUGGUGAUGGUGAUGAUGAUGAUGAUGAUGAUGGUGAUGAUGAUGAUGAUGGUGAUGAUGGUGAUGAUGAUGGUGAUGGUGAUGGUAAUGAUGGUGAUGAUGUGAUGAAGAUGGUGGUGGUGAUGAUGUGAUGAUGAAGAUGAUGAUGGUGAUGAUGAUGGUGGUGGUGAUGGUGUGAUGACGGUGAUGGUGAAGAUGAUGAAGAUGAUGGUGGUGGUUGUGAUGGUGGUGGUCAUGAUGGUGAUGAUGUGAUGAAGAUGAUGGUGGUGAUGUGAUGAUGAAGAUGAUGAUGAUGGUGGUGGUGAUGUGGUGAUGAUGAUGGUGGUGGUGGUGAUGAUGCUGAUGAUGAUGAUGGUGGUGGUGAUGUGAUGAUGAUGAUGGUGAUGAUGAUGUGAUGAUGAAGAUGAUGGUGAUGAUGUGAUGAAGAUGGUGGUGGUGAUGGUGGUGAUGUGAUGAUGAAGAUGAUGGUGAUGUGAUGAUGAAGAUGAUGAUGGUGGUGGUGGUGGUGAUGAAGAUGUGAUGAUGUGAUGAUGAAGAUAAUGGUGGUGGUGGUGAUGUGAUGAUGAAGAUAAUGGUGGUGGUGGUGAUGUGAUGAUGAAGAUGACGAUGGUGAUGAUGGUGGUGAUGAUGUGAUGAUGAAGAUGUGAUGAUGAUGAUGGUGAUGAUUAGACAAUUAGACGGUUUUUUAAUUGCUUCUCAUUGUCACUAUAGAAACGAUAAUGUGUUGGAAGGAGCGCGUUAAUGUGAGCCUGCGCCGCUGCCGGAGCUGCUGUUAUCUGUCCAAUCAGAAUCCAGAAUUGAACAGCACGGUUGUAUAAACAGCUUCGGAAAGACGCGAUGAUUAAAAAUAACGCUCCGUACGCGCUGCAGCUGCUCGCGUCUGUGCAAGCCGUCAGUUUGGGUUUUGCUCCAAAUUCGACGUUAACAAAAACAAGCCGUACGCCUUUAGAGCGGCGUUCUGCAGGAAUAAACGCAACCCCACUGUGCGACAGGAACAGGAUCAUUUGUCAGAGAAUAAAAAAGCUGCAGUUCUGUAAAAUCUUUGGGGUUUUUCUCACUUGGCUCCGGAGGCUGUGGACGCGUUUGGAAGGAAAGACUUCGCACCUGGUGCUGUCUGACUUCAUCUCAGCUUUUUACACUAACGCAUGAGCUCACGGACACCUGACACCACCGCUAUCACGAGGAGAGGAGGAGAGGAGAGGAGAGGAGGAAAAGACAAGAGAAGAGAGGAGGAAAAGACAUGAGAGGAGAGGAGAAGAGAGGAGAGGAGAAGAGGAGAGGAGGGGAGACGAGAGAAGAGAAGAGAGGAGAAGAGAGGAGAAGAGAGGAGAAGAGAGGAGCAGAGAAGAGAGGAGAGGAGAGGAGAGGAGAUGAGAAGAGAG